Molecule: ribosomal RNA, 2195 nt
Filed under: Laribacter hongkongensis
Lineage: Bacteria; Pseudomonadati; Pseudomonadota; Betaproteobacteria; Neisseriales; Aquaspirillaceae
Description: partial 23S ribosomal RNA
Rfam family: Bacterial large subunit ribosomal RNA
Source: RNAcentral
CCAGGAUGAAGGUGCGGUAACACGCACUGGAGGUCCGAACCCACGUCUGUUGCAAAAGACGGGGAUGAGCUGUGGAUAGGGGUGAAAGGCUAAACAAAUCCGGAAAUAGCUGGUUCUCUCCGAAAACUAUUUAGGUAGUGCCUCGAGAUUACACUGACGGGGGUAGAGCACUGUUAUGGCUAGGGGGUCAUUGCGAUUUACCAACCCAUGGCAAACUCCGAAUACCGUCAAGUGCGUCCUCGGGAGACAGACAGCGGGUGCUAACGUCCGUUGUCAAGAGGGAAACAACCCAGACCGCCAGCUAAGGUCCCAAAUGACAUGCUAAGUGGUAAACGAAGUGGGAAGGCCAAGACAGCCAGGAUGUUGGCUUAGAAGCAGCCAUCAUUCAAAGAAAGCGUAAUAGCUCACUGGUCGAGUCGUCCUGCGCGGAAGAUGUAACGGGGCUCAAGCAUGUAACCGAAGCUGCGGAUGCGUACUUGUACGCAUGGUAGGAGAGCGUUCUGUAGGCCUGCGAAGGUGGUGGUGUAAACCCUGCUGGAGGUAUCAGAAGUGCGAAUGCUGACAUGAGUAGCGAUAAAGCGGGUGAAAGUCCCGCUCGCCGAAAACCCAAGGUUUCCUACGCAACGUUCAUCGGCGUAGGGUGAGUCGGCCCCUAAGGCGAGGCAGAAAUGCGUAGUCGAUGGGAAACGGGUCAAGAUUCCCGUACCGGUUGUGAAUGCGAUGGGGGGACGGAGAAGGGUAGCUCAGCGGCCUGUUGGAAUAGGUCGUUUAAGCGUGUAGGAGUGGUCUCCUGGCAAAUCCGGAGAUCUUAUCUGAGGCGUGAUGACGAGGGUCUACGGACCUGAAGUGAGUAAUCCCAAGCUUCCAGGAAAAGCCUCUAAGCUUCAGUUCACAACUGACCGUACCGCAAACCGACACAGGUGGGUAGGUAGAGAAUACCAAGGCGCUUGAGAGAACUCGGGUUAAGGAACUCGGCAAAUUGACACCGUAACUUCGGGAGAAGGUGUGCCCCGGUAGCGUGUAGGACUUCGCGUCCGAAGCGUGAUGGGGUCGCAGAGAAUAGGUGGCUGCGACUGUUUAAUAAAAACACAGCUCUGUGCCAACACGAAAGUGGACGUAUACGGAGUGACGCCUGCCCGGUGCCGGAAGGUUAAGUGAUGGGGUGCAAGCUCUUGAUCGAAGCCCCGGUAAACGGCGGCCGUAACUAUAACGGUCCUAAGGUAGCGAAAUUCCUUGUCGGGUAAGUUCCGACCCGCACGAAUGGCGUAACGAUGGCCACACUGUCUCAACCCGAGACUCAGCGAAGUUGAAAUGUUUGUGAAGAUGCAAUCUCCCCGCUGCUAGACGGAAAGACCCCGUGAACCUUUACUGUAGCUUUGCAUUGGACUUUGAACAGGCUUGUGUAGGAUAGGUGGGAGGCUUUGAAGCUGAGACGCUAGUUUCAGUGGAGCCGUCCUUGAAAUACCACCCUGGUGUGUUUGAGGUUCUAACCUGGGUCCAUCAUCUGGAUCGGGGACCGUGCAUGGUAGGCAGUUUGACUGGGGCGGUCUCCUCCCAAAGUGUAACGGAGGAGUUCGAAGGUUACCUAGGUACGGUCGGACAUCGUACUGAUAGUGCAAUGGCAAAAGGUAGCUUGACUGCGAGACCGACAAGUCGAGCAGGUGCGAAAGCAGGACAUAGUGAUCCGGUGGUUCUGAAUGGAAGGGCCAUCGCUCAACGGAUAAAAGGUACUCCGGGGAUAACAGGCUGAUUCCGCCCAAGAGUUCAUAUCGACGGCGGAGUUUGGCACCUCGAUGUCGGCUCAUCACAUCCUGGGGCUGUAGCCGGUCCCAAGGGUAUGGCUGUUCGCCAUUUAAAGUGGUACGUGAGCUGGGUUUAAAACGUCGUGAGACAGUUUGGUCCCUAUCUGCAGUGGGCGUUGGAAGUUUGAGGGGGGCUGCUCCUAGUACGAGAGGACCGGAGUGGACGCAUCUCUGGUGUACCGGUUGUGACGCCAGUCGCAUCGCCGGGUAGCUAUAUGCGGAAGAGAUAAACGCUGAAAGCAUCUAAGCGUGAAACUCGCCUCAAGAUGAGACUUCCCUGGAGACUUGAUCUCCCUGAAGGGCCGUGGAAGACCACCACGUUGAUAGGUCGGGUGUGGAAGCGCAGUAAUGCGUUAAGCUAACCGAUACUAAUUACCCGUGAGGCUUGAUCCU